GACGAACGCUGGCGGCGUGCUUAACACAUGCAAGUCGAACGGAAAGGCCCUGCUUUUGUGGGGUGCUCGAGUGGCGAACGGGUGAGUAACACGUGAGUAACCUGCCCUUGACUUUGGGAUAACUUCAGGAAACUGGGGCUAAUACCGGAUAGGAGCUCCUGCUGCAUGGUGGGGGUUGGAAAGUUUCGGCGGUUGGGGAUGGACUCGCGGCUUAUCAGCUUGUUGGUGGGGUAGUGGCUUACCAAGGCUUUGACGGGUAGCCGGCCUGAGAGGGUGACCGGCCACAUUGGGACUGAGAUACGGCGCAGACUCCUACGGGAGGCAGCAGUGGGGAAUAUUGCACAAUGGGCGGAAGCCUGAUGCAGCAACGCCGCGUGCGGGAUGACGGCCUUCGGGUUGUAAACCGCUUUCGCCUGUGACGAAGUGUGAGUGACGGUAAUGGGUAAAGAAGCACCGGCUAACUACGUG
This 468-nucleotide ribosomal RNA is filed under the name uncultured bacterium. RNAcentral describes it as "partial 16S ribosomal RNA". It matches the Rfam family "Bacterial small subunit ribosomal RNA", at positions 28 to 507 of the family's 1533-position model. The record is from RNAcentral.